CUUAUUAUCUAUCACGACGCACAUUUAGUCGUGGAUUGGAUGAGUGCCUGCCGGCGUUGUUAUCCGUAUACCUAAUCGGAUUGCUGGUCAAAGGCUCCUUCCUAAUUUUUCCGGUGCAGCCAAGUCCGGUUUACCAGGUUGAGUUGCUGCAAUGGGUAAUGCUCGAGUCGUGGCUUAAUGCUUUGGUUCAUGCUCGAGGCCUAUUGUGCGGCAUAUUUACACUUGAUCUUGGUUUUACUGGUGCGCAGGUACUGUGGGUGUGUAUCACACAAUCUAUUUGACCCUGACCUC
RNAcentral lists this unclassified non-coding RNA (291 nucleotides) under Hapalotrema mistroides. RNAcentral's name for it is "sequence contains ITS2". The record is from RNAcentral. Lineage: Eukaryota; Metazoa; Platyhelminthes; Trematoda; Strigeidida; Spirorchiidae.